CCAGGCUGUGCCAGGAAGUGCAGGAUCGCCUCGUGGGUGGCCAGCCUGGGGCCCGGCCCUCCCCGGAUCCGAUGCUCCUCUCCGCACGUCCCGGUUCCCGGCAGAGUCAGAUAUGGUCCCGGACAGUCUGGAAUCACAGCAUUCUGUCAAACACACACCACCACUUCUGACUUAUUUGCUACAAUGGGGUUUUGCUAACUUUGGUCUGGACUGGCCUCUGACUGCAUUUCUUCCAAACACUGCCUCCUAAGUAGCUAGAACUACAGGGAUUAGCCACCAUGCUUGGCUAUAUAAUUAUUUUUCUAGCUUUUAUUUCAACGAAAUUGCUAAUUGUGUUGCUUUUAACUAAGGUUUUUACAUAAUUUGUGUCUGAUCAUGUAAAGCAAUUCAACUCUGCUUUCUAGAGGGCAAAAAUCAAUUUUAAAUUCCAAAGUAAUGAAUAUCAAAAUCUCAAAACUUAACUAAGUACGUAGAAAACCUUAAAAACUUGGAAAUUUAAUGAAAUGUUAGAAAACAUUAAACUAAAAUGAUUUUCACUUUUAAUAAUCUUGUCACCUUGGGAUAGCAACACACUUCAUAUGUUUUGCCCAAAUCAACAUAAAUGCAAAUUUAAGUCAUAUGUAUCUUUGAAUCUUACCAAAUGUCUCUUAGUAUUUGUGUGCCAGUGUAAAAGUUGCCCUGAUAUCUACAUAGUUGGGGGGCAGGAAAUGGAUCACAAAAGAGAAAUUGAGAGCAUGGGUACUAAGAUGACCAGAACAUAUUAUGCUCAGGAAUCCAUUUUUGAAAUUUGAAGGAGAAGCUGAGACAGGUUAGUACAUUUAUUUCUUCUUUGAAUACUUUUGGCCAAAAGAUUCUACCUUGAUCCCAAGGCGACAUUGCUCCCCAACUUGCAAACCUUGACUAUUCGAGGCCACAACAAGACAUGGGAAGAGGUGUUCUUGGGGUCUGUAGGGUAUUGCUCCCAGAGCAGAUGUUUAGGCAGAUGUAGGCCAUGCUGAGCCACCACUGUGAACCAGCACUGACUUACACAGCAGUUGAGUGUCCUUCAAUCAAUUCAUGUUUCCAACCUGUGACACACAGUGUACUGGAAAGUAGAAAGCCAAGGGCACAGUCUUCUCCUGCCCAGGACUUAGAGAGGUGCUUGCCAGGGGCUAGACAUUCUAGGUGCCAGGAAAAGAGAAAAUGAGACCAUGAGACCUUUCCUUAGCUAACAUCUAAAGCUAACCUGGGUCAGAACUGCUUGUGUCUGCCUCUUGUCUUUUCUUUUCUGUUCAGUUCUUUUCUGUUCUUCUCUUUUCUUUCUUCUCUCUCUCUCUCUCUCUCUCUCUCUCUCUCUCUCUCUCUCUCUCUCUCUCUCAUGAGGGAGAAAUUGGGGUUCAGGGGACACUGAGGGCCAUAAAGUCAAAGGCAUUGAACAUUUGAAAUAGAAGCCCCUGAAAAGAAAAGAAAAUGUUUCCAGUACACAGAAAUAAGUGUUCAUGAAUGUUAAUUUAUUGAAUCUACAUAUAAUGCUAAGAAGUAGGUAGUAUAAUUAUCAAGGUCCUACAGAUGAAGAAAGUGAAGCACAGGGAAGCUAAUUCCCAGGGUGGUUCAGAACUCAAAGGUGCUCACCAUUAUGUCAGACAGGCGAGACUCGAACUUAGCUAUUCAGAUUCCCCAGCGCUUUCUUUUAACCUCAAAUUACAGUGUGUAUUUCUUAUUAUUAAUACUAAUAAAUGUUACUGUUUUCUUUCCUGUA
Long non-coding RNA from Dipodomys spectabilis (banner-tailed kangaroo rat), 1738 nucleotides. RefSeq lists it as uncharacterized. The record is from RefSeq and is a predicted model, not a curated record. NCBI's taxonomy places the organism in Eukaryota, Metazoa, Chordata, Mammalia, Rodentia, Heteromyidae. The transcript is spliced from 2 exons.